GUUAUAGGGUCAAGCAAUGAAGCGCACACGGUGGAUGCCUAGGCAGCCAGAGGCGAUGAAAGACGUGGAAGCCUGCGAUAAGGCUCGGCGAGGUGGCAAACAACCUGUGACCCGGGCAUCUCUGAAUGGGGAAACCCACUCACCGUCAGGUGAGUAUCUUAUGCUGAAUCUAUAGGCAUAAGAGGCGAACCGGGGGAACUGAAACAUCUAAGUACCCCGAGGAAAAGAAAUCAACCGAGAUUCCCCCAGUAGCGGCGAGCGAACGGGGAGCAGCCCUUAAGCGUGUGACCGAUUAGGCGAACGUGCUGGGAAGCACGGCCAUAGCGGGUGAUAGCCCCGUAGCCGAAAAUCUGAUCACGUGAAAUCGAGUAGGUCGGGGCACGAGAAACCUUGACUGAAGACGGGGGGACCAUCCUCCAAGGCUAAAUACUCCUGGCUGACCGAUAGUGAACCAGUACCGUGAGGGAAAGGCGAAAAGAACCCCGGAGAGGGGAGUGAAAUAGAUCCUGAAACCGUGUGCGUACAAGCAGUGGGAGC
RNAcentral lists this ribosomal RNA (537 nucleotides) under Vreelandella neptunia. RNAcentral's name for it is "partial 23S ribosomal RNA". It matches the Rfam family "Bacterial large subunit ribosomal RNA", at positions 1 to 580 of the family's 2925-position model. The record is from RNAcentral. Lineage: Bacteria; Pseudomonadati; Pseudomonadota; Gammaproteobacteria; Oceanospirillales; Halomonadaceae.